This is a non-coding RNA of Marasmius sp. AFHP31, 104 nucleotides long. The record is from the annotation of a GenBank genome assembly. NCBI's taxonomy places the organism in Eukaryota, Fungi, Basidiomycota, Agaricomycetes, Agaricales, Marasmiaceae.
GCUGGGAUGGCCGAGUCGUUAAGGCGAGUGAUUUGAAUUGUUAUUCUUGUGACUUUCUUAUCACUUGGUGUUUCACCGCGUAGGUUCAAAUCCUGCUCCCAGCG